This is a long non-coding RNA of Dermochelys coriacea (leatherback sea turtle), 1624 nucleotides long. RefSeq lists it as uncharacterized. The transcript is spliced from 3 exons. NCBI's taxonomy places the organism in Eukaryota, Metazoa, Chordata, Testudines, Dermochelyidae. The record is from RefSeq and is a predicted model, not a curated record.
UUUUCCCAUCCCCCCUGUGGUGCUCUGGGGGUCCAAGCGAAGGGCGGGCAGGAUGGCUGUGCUGACCCUAACAGAGCCAGGUUCCAGGGCAGCCUCCGCACCUGGGAGCUCUGGGGGUGCUGUGAGGGGGGCAGCUAACUGCACGUCCGGCCCCCGGGAAUCCCUGCCAUCUGCCUGCCCUGCCAGUGGGCACAGGUCAGGGCACAUGGCAUCUGGCACUAGGGCAUCUCUGGGGGCAUGGCCCGUGGAGGGGUCCUAGUGGGGAGAGAGCGAUGGGGCUGGAGCAGGGUCCCUGGGGCACCCCAGAGCUCAGGGCUGGCGACUCCCUGGGGGGUUACAGGCUGCUGGGCACAGGCUGUUGGCUCGAGGGACCACGGGUGCGAGCCCAUCUGGCACCGUCUCCAUCUGUACACGCUGCAUGCGUGUGUGAAUUUACAGUGUGUUUAGAGCUGCACUGGGCCUUCGUAUUAGAGAUGCACGGCGUGUGCAGAUCUGGCGUGCGAGAGACGCUUGUGAGCACCCAGCCAGUGCAAGUGCAUCAUGCGUGUAAAGGGACACGCUCCGACAGACUGAUCGGCGGGGGGUGACGUUGCCUGCGUUAUGGGCACACCGCGUGAGCGUGGACGCUGCAGCCACGCCCUGGGUGUGCGGUCUGUGUUCUAGGGCACGCCCCCAUGUGUGUGUGUACAGCACAGGUGCAGUCCGGGGGAGUCAAUAUUACACACACGGUGUGUACGCGUACUGCGGACAAACUGUGUGUAUGUACAAUUGUACACACCGUGUGUACGCAAACUGCGGACAAGCCCUGUGUGUGUACGAUUGUACACACCGUGUGUACGCAUACUGCAGACAAGCCGUGUGUGUACGAUUGUACACACCGUGUGUACGCAUUCUGCUGACAAGCCCCGUGUGUGUACGAUUGUACACACUGUGUGUACGCAUACUGCAGACAAGCCGUGUGUGUACGAUUGUACACACCGUGUGUACGCAUACUGCAGACAAGCCGUGUGUGUACGAUUGUACACACCGUGUGUACGCAUACUGCAGACAAGCCGUGUGUGUACGACUGUACACACCGUGUGUACGCAUUCUGCAGACAAGCUGUGUGUGUACGAUUGUACACACCGUGUGUACGCAUACUGCAGACAAGCCGUGUGUGUACGAUUGUACACACUGUGUGUACGCAUUCUGCUGACAAGCCGUGUGUGUACGACUGUACACACCGUGUGUACGCAUUCUGCAGACAAGCUGUGUGUGUACGAUUGUACACACCGUGUGUACGCAUACUGCAGACAAGCCGUGUGUGUACGAUUGUACACACCGUGUGUACGCAUACUGCAGACAAGCCGUGUGUGUACGAUUGUACACACUGUGUGUACGCAUACUGCUGACAGGCCGUGUGUGUACGACUGUACACACCGUGUGUACGCAUUCUGCAGACAAGCUGUAUGUGUACGAUUGUACACACCGUGUGUACACAUACUGCAGACAAGCCGUGUGUGUACAAUUGUACACACUGUGUGUACGCAUUCUGCUGACAAGCCAUGUGUACGACUGUACACACUGUGUGUACGCAUUCUGCAGACAAGCUGUGUGUGUAUGAUUGUACACACUGUGUGUACAC